GUUCUGUUUCCCUUUUUAUUUUCUGUUUGCGGUGAUUAAUGUGAGAAUAUUACCAGUUGUUCCGACUGAAUAGUUGUAUAACUACGGGUCGACAAUCUCUUUUUAUCGUUAAGUUUCAGCCUUGUAUGAGCACCUAAGA
Kluyveromyces lactis is the source of this 139-nucleotide small nucleolar RNA. NCBI's taxonomy places the organism in Eukaryota, Fungi, Ascomycota, Saccharomycetes, Saccharomycetales, Saccharomycetaceae. The record is from RefSeq and is a predicted model, not a curated record.